AGAGUUUGAUCCUGGCUCAGAGUGAACGCUGGCGGCGUGCUUAACACAUGCAAGUCGAACGGUAACAGCAGUACUUGUACUGGCUGACGAGUGGCGCACGGGUGAGUAAUGUAUAGUUAAUCUGCCCCUUAGAGAGGGAUAGCCACUGGAAACGGUGAUUAAUACCUCAUACUCCUAUAUGUGUAAGAUAUAUAGGGAAAUGUUAUUUCGCUAAGGGAUGAGACUAUAUGGCAUCAGGUAGUUGGUAGGGUAAUGGCCUACCAAGCCAAUGACGCCUAGCUGGUCUGAGAGGAUGAUCAGCCACACUGGUACUGAGACACGGACCAGACUCCUACGGGAGGCAGCAGUGGGGAAUAUUGCACAAUGGAGGAAACUCUGAUGCAGCAACGCCGCGUGGAGGAUGACGCAUUUCGGUGUGUAAACUCCUUUUAUAUAGGAAGAUAAGGANG
Molecule: ribosomal RNA, 449 nt
Filed under: uncultured Campylobacterota bacterium
Lineage: Bacteria; Pseudomonadati; Campylobacterota
Description: bacterial SSU rRNA
Rfam family: Bacterial small subunit ribosomal RNA
Source: RNAcentral